GAGUUUGAUCCUGGCUCAGAUUGAACGCUGGCGGCAUGCCUUACACAUGCAAGUCGAACGGCAGCACGGGAGCUUGCUCCUGGUGGCGAGUGGCGAACGGGUGAGUAAUGCAUCGGAACGUAUCCUGGAGUGGGGGAUAACGUAGCGAAAGUUACGCUAAUACCGCAUAUUCUGUGAGCAGGAAAGCGGGGGACCUUCGGGCCUCGCGCUCUUGGAGCGGCCGAUGUCGGAUUAGCUAGUUGGUGAGGUAAAGGCUCACCAAGGCGACGAUCCGUAGCAGGUCUGAGAGGAUGAUCUGCCACACUGGAACUGAGACACGGUCCAGACUCCUACGGGAGGCAGCAGUGGGGAAUUUUGGACAAUGGGGGCAACCCUGAUCCAGCCAUGCCGCGUGAGUGAAGAA
RNAcentral lists this ribosomal RNA (403 nucleotides) under bacterium enrichment culture clone ALO1_GLFRUDD03FSL9Z. Its description in RNAcentral is "bacterial SSU rRNA". It matches the Rfam family "Bacterial small subunit ribosomal RNA", at positions 9 to 412 of the family's 1533-position model. The record is from RNAcentral. RNAcentral also lists the same sequence under 4 other names.